RNAcentral lists this ribosomal RNA (253 nucleotides) under uncultured bacterium. RNAcentral's name for it is "partial 16S ribosomal RNA". It matches the Rfam family "Bacterial small subunit ribosomal RNA", at positions 524 to 776 of the family's 1533-position model. The record is from RNAcentral.
UACAGAGGGGGCAAGCGUUGUUCGGAAUUACUGGGCGUAAAGGGCGCGUAGGCGGCCUUCUAAGUCAGACGUGAAAUCCCCCGGCUUAACCUGGGAACUGCGUCUGAUACUGGAAGGCUUGAGUGCGGGAGAGGGAUGUGGAAUUCCAGGUGUAGCGGUGAAAUGCGUAGAUAUCUGGAGGAACACCGGUGGCGAAGGCGGCCAUCUGGACCGAUACUGACGCUGAGGCGCGAAAGCGUGGGUAGCAAACGGG